CCUACGGGAGGCAGCAGUGGGGAAUAUUGGACAAUGGGGGCAACCCUGAUCCAGCCAUGCCGCGUGUGUGAAGAAGGCCCUCGGGUUGUAAAGCACUUUCAGUGAGGAAGAACGCCUGGUGGUUAAUACCCAUCAGGAAAGACAUCACUCACAGAAGAAGCACCGGCUAACUCCGUGCCAGCAGCCGCGGUAAUACGGAGGGUGCGAGCGUUAAUCGGAAUUACUGGGCGUAAAGCGCGCGUAGGUGGCUUGAUAAGCCGGUUGUGAAAGCCCCGGGCUCAACCUGGGAACGGCAUCCGGAACUGGCAAGCUAGAGUGCAGGAGAGGAAGGUAGAAUUCCCGGUGUAGCGGUGAAAUGCGUAGAGAUCGGGAGGAAUACCAGUGGCGAAGGCGGCCUUCUGGACUGACACUGACGCUGAGGUGCGAAAGCGUGGGUAGCAAACAGGAUUAGAUACCCUAGUAGUC
RNAcentral lists this ribosomal RNA (465 nucleotides) under Vreelandella stevensii. RNAcentral's name for it is "partial 16S ribosomal RNA". It matches the Rfam family "Bacterial small subunit ribosomal RNA", at positions 338 to 795 of the family's 1533-position model. Lineage: Bacteria; Pseudomonadati; Pseudomonadota; Gammaproteobacteria; Oceanospirillales; Halomonadaceae. The record is from RNAcentral.